RNAcentral lists this long non-coding RNA (379 nucleotides) under Mytilus galloprovincialis (Mediterranean mussel). Lineage: Eukaryota; Metazoa; Mollusca; Bivalvia; Mytilida; Mytilidae. The record is from RNAcentral.
GUCCAUAUCUCAGAUACUACAAGCAAUAGGGCUAGUAUAUUCGGUGUAUGGAAGGACUGUAAGGUGUACAUGUCCAACUUGCAGGUGUCAUCUGACCUUGACCUCAUUUUCAUGGUUCAGUGGUUAUAGUUAAAUUUUUGUGUUUUGGUCUGUUUUUCUCAUACUAUAUGCAAUAGGUCUACUAUAUUUGUUUUAUGGAAUGAUUGUAAGGUGUACCUAUCUAGCGGGCAGAUGUCAUGUGACCUUGACCUCAUUUUCAUGGUUCAGUGGUCAAAGUUAAGUUUUUGAGUUUUGAUCUUUUUAUCUAAUACUAUAUGCCAUAGGUCAUCUAUAUUUGGUGUAUGGAAAUAUUUUAUUAUCUUUAUGUCAGUUGCGCAGG